Molecule: ribosomal RNA, 617 nt
Filed under: uncultured bacterium
Lineage: Bacteria
Description: bacterial SSU rRNA
Rfam family: Bacterial small subunit ribosomal RNA
Source: RNAcentral
AUUGAACGCUGGCGGCGUGCCUAACACAUGCAAGUCGAGCGGUAACAGGUGUAGCAAUACAUGCUGACGAGCGGCGAACGGGUGAGUAAUGCUUUGGAAUCUUCCCAGUAGUGGGGAAUAACCAGUCGAAAGAUUGGCUAAUACCGCAUACGUCGGAAACGGGAAAGCGGGGGAUCGUAAGACCUCGCGCUAUUGGAUGAGCCAAAGUCGGAUUAGCUAGUUGGUGAGGUAAUGGCUCACCAAGGCGACAAUCCGUAGCUGGUCUGAGAGGACGACCAGCCACACCGGAACUGAGACACGGUCCGGACUCCUACGGGAGGCAGCAGUGGGGAAUAUUGGACAAUGGGGGAAACCCUGAUCCAGCGACGCCGCGUGUGUGAAGAAGGCCUGCGGGUUGUAAAGCACUUUUAGUGGGGACAAAAAGUCACGGGCUAACACUUCGUGAUCUUGAUUUAACUCACAGAAAAAGCACCGGCUAACUCUGUGCCAGCAGCCGCGGUAAUACAGAGGGUGCGAGCGUUAAUCGGAAUUACUGGGCGUAAAGCGCGCGUAGACGGUUUUGUAAGUCAGGUGUGAAAUCCCCGGGCUCAACCUGGGAACUGCAUCUGAUACUGCAU